Sinocyclocheilus anshuiensis is the source of this 134-nucleotide small nucleolar RNA. The record is from Ensembl. NCBI's taxonomy places the organism in Eukaryota, Metazoa, Chordata, Actinopteri, Cypriniformes, Cyprinidae.
UGCCCCAGAUUCACUUUGCCAUAAGGGCCAUCCAGUGUCCUAAGUGGUCAUUAAUGUGGGCGAGAGCAGUCAUCCUUAUGCACCCUGGACAGGCACAUUAAUGCCUUUGCCAGAUUGUCAAUAUGGAAACAUUC